This 276-nucleotide ribosomal RNA is filed under the name uncultured bacterium. RNAcentral's name for it is "partial 16S ribosomal RNA". It matches the Rfam family "Bacterial small subunit ribosomal RNA", at positions 29 to 334 of the family's 1533-position model. The record is from RNAcentral.
AACGAACGCUGGCGGCAGGCUUAACACAUGCAAGUCGAGCGCCCCGCAAGGGGAGCGGCAGACGGGUGAGUAACGCGUGGGAAUCUACCUUUUGCUACGGAAUAACUCAGGGAAACUUGUGCUAAUACCGUAUGUGCCCUUUUGGGGAAAGAUUUAUCGGCAAAGGAUGAGCCCGCGUUGGAUUAGCUAGUUGGUGGGGUAACGGCCUACCAAGGCGACGAUCAGUAGCCGACUUGAGAGAGUGAUCGGCCACAUUGGGACUGAGACACGGCCCAA